This is a long non-coding RNA of Sarcophilus harrisii (Tasmanian devil), 1002 nucleotides long. RefSeq lists it as uncharacterized. The record is from RefSeq and is a predicted model, not a curated record. NCBI's taxonomy places the organism in Eukaryota, Metazoa, Chordata, Mammalia, Dasyuromorphia, Dasyuridae. The transcript has 3 exons.
UCAAUGGUUAAUCAAGAAAGAUGUUCUUAUUCAGGCUUUUUUUUUUUAAAUAAAGAGUAGGAAGACAAAAUAGUAUUGUAAAGAGAUCAUUGGGGAUUGGGCUCAUUCCUGUCUCUGGGAAUGAGAGUCUUGCUGAAAGAUUUUGGAUGGGGAGAAGCCCCCCUCCCUUCUUUAGGACUUUCAUGUGGUUCAUAAAUACAGGGAUUGACUCUUUUCCUUUUUGUAUUUGUUCUUUUCUGUUCUUUUUAGGUGAGGGUUUAUUGUAAAUCACGAUUUUAUGUUUCAGAAGGUCAGAGUAGUGGGAGCUGGAUUCCAUGCUAGGAUUUGCCAGAUGUCAAGCACAGACAUGAAAGGGACAGGCUAGGAUAGUAGUACAGAAUGGCAUUUCUCUCUACUCCUUGCAAUCAAGAGACUCGCAGGCAAAGAGACAGGUUGGUUCAAGCUUUGUCCUCCAUGAUCAAGAAGAACAAGUCCACUGCUUUCAUGUAAAAGUGUGAGAUGUUGAUUCAACCCUCUUCCAAUUUCCUCCUGGGUCCAUUCCUGACUCUCUGGAUUCUGCACCAUAUUGUCCCAGUCGCCUUUUCACUCUGGAAGAUCCUGCUGUCCCUGAGAAUGCCCCCUCUGAUCUGCAAGUUUCUCCCAGAAACCACAGCUUGAGGAAGAGCCCAACCCAGCCCCACUUAGUCCUUUGCUUCUCUCCCAGCACUACCUUUUCCACCAUGUUUUUCUAGUAGCUUUAUAAACUUUAGAAGCCUAGAGGUCUCAUCCUCUGACUGGUGAGUUCCUCUUAGAACUUCCACUUUGAGGAAGUGCCCAGGUCAGCCAUGCUGAGUCCUUUACUCCUUUCCUGAUUGUUGGAAUUGUAGGAAUUGGACUUCCUAAUUAAUCUGGCAGGUUUUAGUCCAACAUGUGUUAGCCGUGUGAGAUGUCUGCCAAAAAAGCUAAUGUGGUCUCAGGUUGCACUAAGAGAAAUAUAGUAUGUAGGACUAGAGAACAACAUUA